GAGGUGUGGAUGACGUAAGAGAGAGAAGCGCGGCAUCGACUUAGGGGCGGUGUGGGAAUAGAAAUGUUUCAUUUAUCUUUACAGAUUUAGUUAGUAAAUUUUACAUUUUGCAACUAUAAAUUUAUUAAAAUAAGUAAUUAACUUAAAGUUUGAAGUAAACGUAUCAUUAAUUAGCUCAACUUAAAUAAAUUGUAAGGUUGAAUAUUAAAAUCAAAAUUUUAAAAGAUCGAAUAGUCGAGUCAAAAUAAUUUAUAGUUCAGAUAAAUUUUACAUAUUUGUACUAUUUUUUUAAUAUUUUUUAACAUU
RNAcentral lists this long non-coding RNA (306 nucleotides) under Ananas comosus (pineapple). RNAcentral describes it as "long non-coding RNA (ACOM_LNC024734)". The record is from RNAcentral. Lineage: Eukaryota; Viridiplantae; Streptophyta; Magnoliopsida; Poales; Bromeliaceae.